RNAcentral lists this ribosomal RNA (274 nucleotides) under uncultured bacterium. RNAcentral's name for it is "partial 16S ribosomal RNA". It matches the Rfam family "Bacterial small subunit ribosomal RNA", at positions 523 to 796 of the family's 1533-position model. The record is from RNAcentral.
AUACGGAGGGUGCAAGCGUUAAUCGGAAUUACUGGGCGUAAAGCGUACGUAGGCGGUUUAUAAAGUCAGAUGUGAAAGCCCCGGGCUUAACCUGGGAACUGCAUUUGAAACUAGUAGACUAGAGUAUGGUAGAGGGGGGUAGAAUUCCUAGUGUAGCGGUGAAAUGCGUAGAUAUUAGGAGGAAUACCAGUGGCGAAGGCGGCCCCCUGGACCAAUACUGACGCUGAGGUACGAAAGCGUGGGGAGCGAACAGGAUUAGAUACCCCGGUAGUCC